RNAcentral lists this ribosomal RNA (292 nucleotides) under uncultured bacterium. RNAcentral's name for it is "partial 16S ribosomal RNA". It matches the Rfam family "Bacterial small subunit ribosomal RNA", at positions 505 to 796 of the family's 1533-position model. The record is from RNAcentral.
GUGCCAGCCGCCGCGGUAAAACGUAGGACGCAAGCGUUAUCCGGAAUUACUGGGCGUAAAGCGCGUGUAGGUGGUUGCAUAAGUCACUGUUGAAAGCUCCCGGCUAAACUGGGAGAGGUGCGGUGAGACUGUGUGACUAGAGUAUGGGAGAGGGAUGCAGAAUUCCGGGUGUAGUGGUGAAAUGCGUAGAGAUCCGGAGGAAUACCAGAGGCGAAGGCGGCAUCCUGGCCUAAAACUGACACUGAGACGCGAAAGCAUGGGGAGCGAACGGGAUUAGAUACCCCUGUAGUCC